GAUGAACGCUGGCGGCGUGCCUAAUACAUGCAAGUCGAGCGAAUGGAUUAAGAGCUUGCUCUUAUGAAGUUAGCGGCGGACGGGUGAGUAACACGUGGGUAACCUGCCCAUAAGACUGGGAUAACUCCGGGAAACCGGGGCUAAUACCGGAUAACAUUUUGAACCGCCUGGUUCGAAAUUGAAAGGCGGCUUCGGCUGUCACUUAUGGAUGGACCCGGGGCGCAUUAGCUAGUUGGUGAGGUAACGGCUCACCAAGGCAACGAUGCGUAGCCGACCUGAGAGGGUGAUCGGCCACACUGGGACUGAGACACGGCCCAGACUCCUACGGGAGGCAGCAGUAGGGAAUCUUCCGCAAUGGACGAAAGUCUGACGGAGCAACGCCGCGUGAGUGAUGAAGGCUUUCGGGUCGUAAAACUCUGUUGUUAGGGAAGAACAAGUGCUAGUUGAAUAAGCUGGCACCUUGACGGUACCUAACCAGAAAGCCACGGCUAACUACGUGCCAGCCGCCGCGGUAA
This 515-nucleotide ribosomal RNA is filed under the name uncultured bacterium. Its description in RNAcentral is "partial 16S ribosomal RNA". It matches the Rfam family "Bacterial small subunit ribosomal RNA", at positions 28 to 523 of the family's 1533-position model. The record is from RNAcentral.